This 249-nucleotide ribosomal RNA is filed under the name uncultured bacterium. RNAcentral describes it as "partial 16S ribosomal RNA". It matches the Rfam family "Bacterial small subunit ribosomal RNA", at positions 57 to 305 of the family's 1533-position model. The record is from RNAcentral.
GCAAGUCGAGCGGUAACAGGGGAGCUUGCUCCUGCUGACGAGCGGCGGACGGGUGAGUAACGCGUAGGAAUCUGCCUAGUAGAGGGGGACAACAUGUGGAAACGCAUGCUAAUACCGCAUACGCCCUAAGGGGGAAAGGAGGGGACUCUUCGGACCUUUCGCUAUUAGAUGAGCCUGCGUGAGAUUAGCUUGUUGGUGAGGUAAAGGCUCACCAAGGCGACGAUCUCUAGCUGGUCUGAGAGGAUGACC